Molecule: transfer RNA, 65 nt
Filed under: Ctenochauliodes punctulatus
Lineage: Eukaryota; Metazoa; Arthropoda; Insecta; Megaloptera; Corydalidae
Description: tRNA-Phe
Source: RNAcentral
AUUUAAAUAGCUUAUAAUAAGAGCAUAACAUUGAAGCUGUUAAGGAGAUAUUUUAUCUUUAAAUA